RNAcentral lists this ribosomal RNA (1293 nucleotides) under Salmonella enterica subsp. enterica serovar Virchow. RNAcentral's name for it is "bacterial LSU rRNA". It matches the Rfam family "Bacterial large subunit ribosomal RNA", at positions 1667 to 2925 of the family's 2925-position model. Lineage: Bacteria; Pseudomonadati; Pseudomonadota; Gammaproteobacteria; Enterobacterales; Enterobacteriaceae. The record is from RNAcentral.
UCAGGUAGAGAAUACCAAGGCGCUUGAGAGAACUCGGGUGAAGGAACUAGGCAAAAUGGUGCCGUAACUUCGGGAGAAGGCACGCUGACACGUAGGUGAAGUGAUUUACUCAUGGAGCUGAAGUCAGUCGAAGAUACCAGCUGGCUGCAACUGUUUAUUAAAAACACAGCACUGUGCAAACACGAAAGUGGACGUAUACGGUGUGACGCCUGCCCGGUGCCGGAAGGUUAAUUGAUGGGGUCAGCGCAAGCGAAGCUCCUGAUCGAAGCCCCGGUAAACGGCGGCCGUAACUAUAACGGUCCUAAGGUAGCGAAAUUCCUUGUCGGGUAAGUUCCGACCUGCACGAAUGGCGUAAUGAUGGCCAGGCUGUCUCCACCCGAGACUCAGUGAAAUUGAACUCGCUGUGAAGAUGCAGUGUACCCGCGGCAAGACGGAAAGACCCCGUGAACCUUUACUAUAGCUUGACACUGAACAUUGAGCCUUGAUGUGUAGGAUAGGUGGGAGGCUUUGAAGUGUGGACGCCAGUCUGCAUGGAGCCGACCUUGAAAUACCACCCUUUAAUGUUUGAUGUUCUAACGUGGACCCGUAAUCCGGGUUGCGGACAGUGUCUGGUGGGUAGUUUGACUGGGGCGGUCUCCUCCUAAAGAGUAACGGAGGAGCACGAAGGUUGGCUAAUCCUGGUCGGACAUCAGGAGGUUAGUGCAAUGGCAUAAGCCAGCUUGACUGCGAGCGUGACGGCGCGAGCAGGUGCGAAAGCAGGUCAUAGUGAUCCGGUGGUUCUGAAUGGAAGGGCCAUCGCUCAACGGAUAAAAGGUACUCCGGGGAUAACAGGCUGAUACCGCCCAAGAGUUCAUAUCGACGGCGGUGUUUGGCACCUCGAUGUCGGCUCAUCACAUCCUGGGGCUGAAGUAGGUCCCAAGGGUAUGGCUGUUCGCCAUUUAAAGUGGUACGCGAGCUGGGUUUAGAACGUCGUGAGACAGUUCGGUCCCUAUCUGCCGUGGGCGCUGGAGAACUGAGGGGGGCUGCUCCUAGUACGAGAGGACCGGAGUGGACGCAUCACUGGUGUUCGGGUUGUCAUGCCAAUGGCACUGCCCGGUAGCUAAAUGCGGAAGAGAUAAGUGCUGAAAGCAUCUAAGCACGAAACUUGCCCCGAGAUGAGUUCUCCCUGAGACUUUAAGUCUCCUGAAGGAACGUUGAAGACGACGACGUUGAUAGGCCGGGUGUGUAAGCGCAGCGAUGCGUUGAGCUAACCGGUACUAAUGAACCGUGAGGCUUAACCUUACAACGCCGAAG